GCGGCAUCGGAAUGGUCUAGCAUGCGAGUCAUUGUAGCAAUACAAGGCAGACGGCUCAGUAACGCGUAGUCAAUCUACCCUAUGGACGAGGAUAACCUCGGGAAACUGAGAAUAAUACUCGAUAGAACACUAUGCCUGGAAUGGUUUGUGUUUGAAAUGAUUUAUCGCCGUAGGAUGGGACUGCGGCCUAUCAGUUUGUUGGUGAGGUAAUGGCCCACCAAGACUAUUACAGGUACGGGCUCUGAGAGGAGUGGCCCGGAGAUGGGUACUGAGACACGGACCCAGGCCCUAUGGGGCGCAGCAGGCGAGAAAACUUUGCAAUGUGCGAAAGCACGACAAGGUUAAUCCGAGUGGUUUCUGCUAAAGAAACCUUUUGUUAGUCCUAGAAACACUGAUGAAUAAGGGGUGGGCAAGUUCUGGUGUCAGCCGCCGCGGUAAAACCAGCACCUCAAGUGGUCAGGAUGAUUAUUGGGCCUAAAGCAUCCGUAGCCGGCUAUGUAAGUUUUCGGUUAAAUCUGUGCGCUUAACGUACAGGCUGCCGGGAAUACUGCAUAGCUAGGAAGUGGGAGAGGUAGACGGUACUCGGUAGGAAGGGGUAAAAUCCUUUGAUCUAUUGAUGACCACCUGUGGCGAAGGCGGUCUACCAGAACACGUUCGACGGUGAGGGAUGAAAGCUGAGGGAGCAAACCGGAUUAGAUACCCGGGUAGUCCCAGCCGUAAACUAUGCAAACUCAGUGAUGCAUUGGCUUGUGGCCAAUGCAGUGCUGCAGGGAAGCCGUUAAGUUUGCCGCCUGGGAAGUACGUACGCAAGUAUGAAACUUAAAGGAAUUGGCGGGGGAGCACCACAAGGGGUGAAGCCUGCGGUUCAAUUGGAGUCAACGCCGGG
This 886-nucleotide ribosomal RNA is filed under the name uncultured archaeon. RNAcentral describes it as "bacterial SSU rRNA". It matches the Rfam family "Archaeal small subunit ribosomal RNA", at positions 27 to 922 of the family's 1478-position model. The record is from RNAcentral.